AACGAACGCUGGCGGCAUGCCUAACACAUGCAAGUCGAACGAGACCUUCGGGUCUAGUGGCGCACGGGUGCGUAACGCGUGGGAACCUGCCCUUAGGUUCGGAAUAACUCCCCGAAAGGGGUGCUAAUACCGGCUAAUGUCUUCGGACCAAAGAUUUAUCGCCUUUGGAUGGGCCCGCGUUGGCUUAGCUAGUUGGUAGGGUAAAAGCCUACCAAGGCGACGAUCCAUAGCUGGUCUGAGAGGAUGAUCAGCCACACUGGGACUGAGACACGGCCCAGACUCCUACGGGAGGCAGCAGUGGGGAAUAUUGGACAGUGGGCGAAAGGCUGAUCCAGCAAUGCCGCGUGAGUGAUGAAGGCCUUAGGGUUGUAAAGCUCUUUUACCCGGGAUGAUAAUGACAGUACCGGGAGAAUAAGCUCCGGCUAACUCCGUG
RNAcentral lists this ribosomal RNA (433 nucleotides) under uncultured bacterium. RNAcentral describes it as "partial 16S ribosomal RNA". It matches the Rfam family "Bacterial small subunit ribosomal RNA", at positions 29 to 507 of the family's 1533-position model. The record is from RNAcentral.